AAUCAACGCUGGCGGCGUGCCUCAGACAUGCAAGUCGAACGCGAAAGUUUCCUUCGGGGAGCGAGUAGAGUGGCGCACGGGUGAGUAACACGUAGGUAAUCUACCUUCGGAUGGGGAAUAACAAUCGGAAACGGUUGCUAAUACCGCAUAAUGCAGCGGCACCUAAUGGUGACAGUUGUUAAAGCGGGGGAGUCGUAAGACCUCGCGUCUGAAGAGGAGCCUGCGGCGGAUUAGCUUGUUGGUAAGGUAAUGGCUUACCAAGGCGACGAUCCGUAACCGGCCUGAGAGGGCGGUCGGUCACACUGACACUGACAUACGGGUCAGACUCC
RNAcentral lists this ribosomal RNA (329 nucleotides) under uncultured bacterium. Its description in RNAcentral is "bacterial SSU rRNA". It matches the Rfam family "Bacterial small subunit ribosomal RNA", at positions 32 to 339 of the family's 1533-position model. The record is from RNAcentral.